GAUGAACGCUAGCUACAGGCUUAACACAUGCAAGUCGAGGGGCAGCAUGUCGGUUGCUUGCAACCGAUGAUGGCGACCGGCGCACGGGUGAGUAACGCGUAUCCAACCUACCCUUGUCCAUCGGAUAACCCGUCGAAAGGCGGCCUAACACGAUAUGCGGUUCUCAGCAGGCAUCUAACGAGAACGAAAUGUGAAGGAGAAGGAUGGGGAUGCGUCUGAUUAGCUUGUUGGCGGGGUAACGGCCCACCAAGGCGACGAUCAGUAGGGGUUCUGAGAGGAAGGUCCCCCACAUUGGAGCUGAGACACGGUCCAAACUCCUACGGGAGGCAGCAGUGAGGAAUAUUGGUCAAUGGACGGGAGUCUGAACCAGCCAAGUAGCGUGCAGGAUGACGGCCCUAUGGGUUGUAAACUGCUUUUAUAGGGGGAUAAAGUGUGCCACGUGUGGCAUAUUGCAGGUACCCUAUGAAUAAGGACCGGCUAAUUCCGUGCCAGCAGCCGCGGUAAUACGGAAGGUCCGGGCGUUAUCCGGAUUUAUUGGGUUUAAAGGGAGCGUAGGCCGUCUUAUAAGCGUGUUGUGAAAUGUCGGGGCUCAACCUGGGCAUUGCAGCGCGAACUGUGAGACUUGAGUGCGCAGGAAGUAGGCGGAAUUCGUCGUGUAGCGGUGAAAUGCUUAGAUAUGACGAAGAACUCCGAUUGCGAAGGCAGCCUGCUGUAGCGCAACUGACGCUGAAGCUCGAAAGCGUGGGUAUCGAACAGG
This 757-nucleotide ribosomal RNA is filed under the name uncultured bacterium. RNAcentral's name for it is "bacterial SSU rRNA". It matches the Rfam family "Bacterial small subunit ribosomal RNA", at positions 28 to 776 of the family's 1533-position model. The record is from RNAcentral.